This is a regulatory RNA element of Citrobacter koseri ATCC BAA-895, 110 nucleotides long. It matches the Rfam family "TPP riboswitch aptamer (THI element)". From Rfam's summary of the family: Vitamin B(1) in its active form thiamin pyrophosphate (TPP) is an essential coenzyme that is synthesised by coupling of pyrimidine and thiazole moieties in bacteria. The previously detected thiamin-regulatory element, thi box was extended, resulting in a new, highly conserved RNA secondary structure, the THI element, which is widely distributed in eubacteria and also occurs in some archaea. Analysis of operon structures identified a large number of new candidate thiamin-regulated genes, mostly transporters, in various prokaryotic organisms. The record is from Rfam. Lineage: Bacteria; Pseudomonadati; Pseudomonadota; Gammaproteobacteria; Enterobacterales; Enterobacteriaceae.
UACAUCUUGUCGGAGUGCCGUGUGUGAAAACACAGGCUGAGACCGUUAAUUCGGGAUCCGCGGAACCUGAUCAGGCUAAUACCUGCGAAGGGAACAAGAGUAAACUGCUU